GGGGAUGACGGGCUUCGACGGAGUUCAUUUCAAAUUAUACGCAGGUGGUAGAUGGAUAUCACUACCUAAAAUACUAUCUAAAAUUUAUAAUUGCCAAAACCAAUUAUUCAGGCGCUUUAGCUUUCGCUUAAGUUCCCGUUCUCUCAAUAAUUCUCGCUAGUUGAGAAGAACGCCAUUAGCGGGAUACUGUUUGUGGGGUCUUGGUGUGUUCUAAGCCGCAGACGGGAAAUUAAGCUAGAAUACUGGUCCGACGUUUUUGUUGGCUUCAAAGUCGGACAAUAAUAAACCAACUAAACCUGUAGAAUGUAAUUUGAUUAAAUUUCGGAUGUGGAUUCAACUUCCACCGUCUCCACUC
This 355-nucleotide transfer-messenger RNA is filed under the name bacterium. It matches the Rfam family "transfer-messenger RNA". Rfam says of the family: Bacterial tmRNA, also known as 10Sa RNA or SsrA, is named for its dual tRNA and mRNA-like properties. Its role is to liberate the mRNA from a stalled ribosome. The record is from RNAcentral.